Molecule: small RNA, 654 nt
Filed under: Pan troglodytes (chimpanzee)
Lineage: Eukaryota; Metazoa; Chordata; Mammalia; Primates; Hominidae
Description: processed transcript
Source: RNAcentral
AAGACCCCCAAGGACAAGGAGGAAAUUGUGAUCUGCGAUCGAGCCUCGGUCAAGGAGUUCAAAGAGGAAAUCUCCCGGAGGUUUAAGGCUCAGCAGGAUCAGCUGGUCCUGAUCUUCGCAGGCAAGAUCCUCAAGGAUGGGGACACACUGAACCAGCACGGAAUCAAGGACGGGCUCACUGUCCAUCUGGUCAUCAAGACCCCUCAGAAGGCUCAAGAUCCAGCUGCUGCCACUGCUUCUUCCCCCUCCACACCUGACCCUGCCUCAGCACCCUCCACCACGCCUGCUUCUCCCGCCACCCCUGCCCAGCCCUCCACCUCUGGCAGUGCCUCUUCGGAUGCUGGCAGUGGAAGCCGGAGGAGCAGUGGUGGGGGGCCCUCUCCAGGGGCUGGGGAGGGAUCCCCCAGUGCUACUGCGUCCAUACUCUAUGCAGCAGUUGAUGGAGCGGAACCCUGAGAUCAGCCACAUGCUCAAUAACCCUGAACUCAUGAGGCAGACAAUGGAGCUUGCUCGGAAUCCAGCCAUGAUGCAAGAGAUGAUGCGGAACCAGGACCGGGCCCUGAGCAACCUUGAGAGCAUCCCUGGAGGGUAUAAUGCCCUCCGCCGCAUGUACACGGACAUCCAGGAGCCCAUGUUCAGUGCUGCCCGGGAACA